UGGCUGGCUGUUCUCAAACAUAAAUUUCGAUGGAAACCUUAAGACAAUGUGUAAUUUGUCAGACAUAUUGUUUCAAUACGAAUUCUCCCGAACGAUUAGAAAUCUAUAUUUCGCUUGAAAAGGAUUACCUACAUCGUAUAAUUUGUAAAUAGGCUAUCUUUAGGACAAACGAUUAAAUGGGUUUAUUUAUAAUCUUAUUGGUGACGCGAUAUGGUAUGAUCAGAAUCAACCAAUAGAAAAAGACUCAUUAGGAUAUGAGAAGCACACGUACUUAUUGAGUAAGAGAAAGGGAUUUAAAAGGUAAAAAUGAGUGAGGAGAACAAGGAUAGCCAUAGCGAUGAAUUGUCGCUCAUAAGCAUACCUUCUGAUUACAACCCAGCCGGUGGGACAGCCUCCAUUCGGAAGCUCAUUGAGGACUCCAGGGCCCCAUUUUGUUUGGUACCCAAUGAUAUUGCUGCUUCUACAACGCCUGAAGGUUACACUCGGUAUCUAACCCAGACAGAUGAUGGACGCGUACUUUUAUAUGAUAGUAGCAAAGUCACUCCAACAAAAAUUGCGGUUGAUUCAAAUGACACAAACGAUUUACUUGUUCUUGCCGGACUUACAGUUGCUACGUCUGUGUUGCAUGUACGUGUGGAAAGAAAAUUUACAUUAGUCUCAUGGCGUGCAGUUUUGUUUUCGGAGCCGCUGUAUAUUGUUGUGCAAAAGAUUGUCAGGUAUAUCCACCAAGUAAUUGAAGUUACAGGAAACCCAGUUGUCGCUGUUGGUGAUGUACCUGUGGAACAUCGGUCUGAAAUUCAGAGGGCAUUGACGCAACAAUGCCGCUUGCAUGAUCAAUUAUUUCUCGAAAAGGUCCACCCCAACACUUGCGAUGCAGUGUCUACGAUUCCAUCGCUGACUCAGCUAAUCAUGAAACCGUUAAAAGAUCUAAAAACAUUGAGAUUCGGUCAUUUUAGCAACGGCAACUUCGAUAACUUUGACUGUGUGAUAACUUCACGUAUUGUCCAACCGGAUGUUCAGCCUUUUUUUUCCGAUUUAAACAGCUCUAGUGUGGUUAAGCCGUUUCCAUAUUUGCCAAUCAAAGCAUCUCUUCAUGUUCCGGCAAGGAUUACGUCAUUCACUGGUAGUUGACUGUGUAUACGAAGACGUCCAAAAAUAUACUUACCUUGUGUGUGUUCGGCAACUUUGAGCUUGAACAAAAUUUCAGCUAUAUGUCAUGUGCGUUGUGCGUUUAACCUGUAUAAGGUCAUUAUGCUCACGCUUUUUGUCCUGUCGCCGGCGGACUUAAAUAGGUUUAACGAGAUGAAAACAAACGUAUCAUUUUUCUUUGCUGUUUUCUUGAUUAAGCACUUUUAAAAUUGUUAUGUCAGCAAUAAAAUUUUGGUAAGAAAUAGCAACUUCCAAUAAAUUAUAAUUCGGCUAAUCUGCAGUAGUUAUUAUGCACUUGAUUUGCUCAAAAUUUAAGAUUGCCAAACGACUCAAAGACAAAGUAUUUCGGUCAUUUAAAUACCAUUUCUUGUCUACAAAUUUUAGAAGUUAACCUAAAUUAAUACAAAAGGUCCUUUGAUGGUCCUGGUAUAACUGAAUAAAUGUCCUCGCAUAUAUUAAAAUCUGUGUUUGCCAUGAUAAUCCAAAGCUAACAAAACUGACGUAUAAUAAAAACGUCUUCUCCGAAAUCUGUGACUGCAGAAUAUAUAUUGUAAAGAAUUGUUAUGUCAAUGACAUUGUCCUAACAUUUUUAAAAUAACGUAUAUUCUUUGAAAACAUAAUCUUUUUUUUGGUUAGGUUUCCGUAUAUUUCUUUAAAAAAAAUUUUUACCCUGUUAGCAGAUUUCUUGUAUGUGUGUUUUAUUUAAAUAUCAUCUAAAGAAAAAGUUCCUUUUCAAAAACACUGUUUGCUGGAUAUCAAAAGAAGUUGGGACAAAAAUACCUUAAAAUUAGAUGUAUUGUGUUCAAAACCAGUUCCCACUAAUUUAUGGCACAGACAAACUUUUUUUAUCAUUUUCAUGUGAAUUUGAUUUUCAAAAAUGACAAACCAAAGUAAUGUUGUUUAUUUAUCAAUCAACACCUAAUAAUGCUAGCGAGAUAGUUUUAUGUGUCUUGUGUGGUACACAAUUAUACUGACAGAAAUGCGAUUUAAUUACUGUUAUGUAAUGUUAAUUCUUUAUUCUCUUUUGGGAAUAGGCAAAUUCUCAAUGGUACAUAAAUAAGAUGCUGUGUAACCAGGUCAUAUCAACUGUGUGUGUGGAAUUUACAUUUAGAAAAUAACUGAUUUAGGUUUAUUUUUAUACGUAGCAGUCAUACCCGUAAAUUAUCUUUCUACACACUGUGGCAUAUGCAAAUAAAAGACAAACAUAUUUGAAUAAGCAACACUAAUUGGAGUAAACAUACGCUCAACAGGUAUUAAUAUGUGGAUCGAUAUUUAAACAUGAAUGUGUCAAUAAGAAAUGCACCAUUCGGUUAUAAUGGCAUAGGAUAGAUCAUAUUCGUUUUUAUUUUAUUUGUUUUCAUAGUUUUGAAAAUGCUGAAUAUCUUUUCAAUUUGAAGACUCUUGACACAUACACUAUAAUCCAUACAAGUUCAAUCAGAACAAAAGCCUUUGUCCAGAUCAUAUAAAGGUACCUACAAACGCUCAAGGUAUUUCGAAUAGUUUAUAGUUGUGCAUGCAAUUGCUUUCUGCAAUUAAGAUACCAUACUAUGUAUAUAAUCUAUAUUAUAAUAUUUUAUUUCAUGAUUAGUUAAUUGAAAUGAUGUCGUUUUGUACAAACCAAUCAUUUGUUAUGUCAUUUUCGAAAGACUUUACUUAUAGCAAUAUGUGCUCUUAUGUAGUGUAAAUGAUCUUUUUUAUGUGCAAAUGUGUUUUUAAAUAAAUGCACUUAUGUUUUUGGAUGCACUUAUGAAAUUCGCAUUUAUGUUCCAUUAAAGGUAAUGUUGUUUCUUCAGUUUGUCGAAAUAAAUUGUAGACAAUAAA
Dreissena polymorpha is the source of this 2970-nucleotide long non-coding RNA. RefSeq lists it as uncharacterized. The record is from RefSeq and is a predicted model, not a curated record. The transcript has 3 exons. Lineage: Eukaryota; Metazoa; Mollusca; Bivalvia; Myida; Dreissenidae.